This 263-nucleotide unclassified non-coding RNA is filed under the name plant metagenome. Its description in RNAcentral is "partial contains small subunit ribosomal RNA, internal transcribed spacer 1, and 5.8S ribosomal RNA". The record is from RNAcentral.
UUUCCGUAGGUGAACCUGCGGAAGGAUCAUUAUUGUAUAACCGAGGUGCGAGGGCUGUCGCUGACCCGACAGGUCGUGCACGCCCGAGUGCCCUCACACACAUCCAUCUUACCCCUAUGUGCACCACCGCGUGGGUCCCCCUUUGGCUUGUUCGGAGGGGGGCUUACGUUUUCACACAAACUUUGUAUGCAGUGUAGAAUGUAUUUUUUGUUUUUGCGAUCACGCAAUCAAUACAACUUUCAACAACGGAUCUCUUGGUUCUC